This is a long non-coding RNA of Loxodonta africana (African savanna elephant), 6253 nucleotides long. RefSeq lists it as uncharacterized. NCBI's taxonomy places the organism in Eukaryota, Metazoa, Chordata, Mammalia, Proboscidea, Elephantidae. The transcript is spliced from 2 exons. The record is from RefSeq and is a predicted model, not a curated record.
UAUUUACAUUAAGUACUAUAUAUUUCAUUAUAUAUAUAUAUAUAUAUAUAUAUAUAUAUGAUCUUAAUCAUAACCAAAAUCUAAAAACAUUUGAAACCCAUAUCCAGGGUCCCUCUGACACAAACCCAGUAAGCAGCUUACCAACAUGCCAGCUUCAGACCUGGGACAGUGUCUGCACCCACCAGGCCCUGUCAGGCCCUACACUCAGAGGGCUGGACUGGCAAACCUAACAGAGAUACACCUGUGAGGACAGGACCCAGGAUUUUCAAGAGCUGUCACAUUGCAAUGACCCAAGUGUCCACAAGCAUUCAUUGGGAAUGGCCUUAUAUCCAGUCUGGCUCCCAAGCCUCCAGAUAGUCCCUGUUGGACCUAAUUUCCAACCCACUCUUUGUUUGGACUGGAGGCCUGGUGAUGCAGUGGUUAAGAGUUCAGCUGCUAAAUAAAGUUCAGCAGUUCGAAUCCACCAGACACUCUUUGGAAAUCCUGUGGGGCAGUUGACUCUGUCCUAUAGGGUCACUAUGAGUCGGAAUUGACUCAAUGACAACGGGUUUGGUUUGUUUUUUUGCUUAGACUCUGUAACACCACAUUCACAUUUACAAUCUCCUGAAUCUCACUGUACCCCAAGAAGAAUUUUUAGCUUUCUAGCCUGCCUCCACCUACCCUUCCUGCCUUUGCUUCCUCCAUGCCUUUGCUCUCCUGUCUCAGUGCAGACAGCUCAUCCCCACAGCGCAUAGAUUUCUUCAUUGGUCUGUUAUUCUUGUCCCCCAGCUCCAGGUCCUUUGCGGAGUGUUCUGGGAACUUGAGAUGCUGAGUAUGGAGAGAAAAAUGCUCCAGGGAGAGGGUCACUAUCUUCUAAUCUCCAAGAAGAUGGAUACUGACAACCUCUAGUCCUUAUUGAUGAGAGGGAUCGGAGAUGUCGACAUGCCUGAAAAUCGUGUUCUCUGAGGAAGGAUCACACCUGGAAAUGUUAAAUCCAGAGAAAAUAAGUUUAAGGUAUGGGAAGAAGUGCAACUUAGGAAAAAAAAAAAAAAAAAAAGGGCUAAAAGGGGUUACCAUUAUUUUGAGAGUCCCAGUGGACAGAACUAGAAUUGUGCAUGGAAUUUACAUUAUCCUAUAAGAAGGAAUCUUUGGGCCUUGGAUCUGUAUGCUUAUGGAAAGGGACGUAGUCCAAACAUAGUCAGUUUCUUGUCUCUGGAGAUGCUCAGAAUACAGUGAGGAUGUUGUAAGAGAAUCUUUGCAUUGAAUGGGAAGUUGACUAAGAUAAUCUAAAUACUCUUGGAGAGGCUCUUAUUUUACUUGUAUCUUUGGCUUGCUUCAAAGCCUAACACUAUGGACAACGUAUAGGGACUAAAGGGAGGGAGGAGGACUGAGCCCAAGAUUGGAGUCUGUUUGAAGUAAGGUAAUGUGUUUGAGCUAAUGCUGGGACACUUUUACUUGUAUAUUUAUUUUCCGAUCUUCAAAUGCCACAAGGAUAUGACAGUCCCUCGGGAAUUUGCUGGUACAAACCACAUCCUUUUUUUUUUUUCCUUCAUUUAAUGCCUAGCAGAGGCCCAACACAGGGGAAGUGCUUAAGAAAUGUUGAAAAACAUUUUUGAUUGAGUCAAAUUUAAACUUGCACUUCCGGUAUGAUUCCUGGGAGGCAGUAUUGUACCAUUAUGAAGAGUAUGAACCCAAGUAAGGCUGCCUUGUGCCUGGAGCUUAGCUCUUCAUUUACUUGAGGAAUGAACUUGGGCAAGUGGCAUAAACUCUCAGUUCUCUCAGUUCCCUUAUCUGUAAAAAAGAAAUUGCCUCAUGGCAUUGGUCUCAGGAUACAAUGAGUUAUACGUUCAAAAGGUUUGUAUCAGCAUUUGACACAUAAUAAAACAAAAACGAAAUCUAACACUGUUGAUUCUGACUCAUAGCGGCCCUGUAGGAGAGAGUAGAACUGCCCCCAUGGGGUUUCCAAGGCUGUAAUCUUUACAGAAGCAGGCUGCCACAUCUUUCUCCCAUGCAUCAGCUGGCGAGUGUGAACUGCUGACCUUUAGGCUGGCAGCUGAGAGCUUUAACCACUGCGCCACUAGGGUUCCAUGACACAUAAUAGCAGAUAUUUAUCCAGCACUUAAAACGUGCCAGCACUGUUGUGUAUAUCGUGCAUGUAUUUAAUACUCACAACAACUCAAGUGUUGGCUAUGACACUGACAGAGAGGUUAAGCAAUGUGCCCAAAGUCACAAGAAGAGGAGAUUGUAACACCAGGUGUCUAACUAAACCAAUGCUCUUGACCACACUGAUUUCCACUUGAUAACCAUCGGCCGUCAUUUGUAUUAUCAUCAUUCCAACCGGUUGUUGUUGUUAGGUACCAUGGAGUUGGUUUGGACUCAGAGCUACCCUUAUGUACAACAGAAGGAAACGCUGCCUCGUCCUGGACCAGUCUCACAAUUGUUGUUAUGUUUGAGGCCAUUGUUGCAGCCACUGUGUCAAUCCAUCUUGUAGAAGGUCUUCCUCUUUUUUGCUGACCCUUUACUUCACCGAGCAUGAUGUCCUUCUCCAGGGAUUGGUGCCUCCUGAUAAAAUGUCCAAAGUACACAAGACAAAGUCUCGCCAUCCUUGCUUCCAAGGAGCACUCUGGCUGUACUUUUUCUAAGACAGGCUUGUACCUCCCAGUGAAGGCUAGUUUCCAUUCUUUCCUCUCCUUUCUACCUCUGCUAUGUAUAUGAAUAUACAUACUAAUUCUCCACUGGGCAAUGAGUCCCCAGAGCGCUGGGACAUUAUUUGAUUUCUUUUGUCUUUUUGGAUAGAUUCUUGCAUGGACUUUGCACUUGACGGAUGCUGUUCACAUGUUGGCAGAGUGGAUGAAUAGCAUAAUGAUGUCAUUUGUUUAAAGCAACCAUGUUAUCUGGACAGUUGGUCUGUGGUUCUGCAUUGAGGCUCUAAUCUCUUCAGAGUACCAGAUUGGAAUCCUACAUAAACCAAUCUUUUUCCUUUAUCUUUAUUUGAUUUGUUGGUUUAUUUCUUCAUCUAUUUAGUUAUUUAUUUGCAGGCAGAAUGGUGUGUCCUGAGAAACACAGGGCUGUGUUUGCAUCCAGGCCUCAGCACUACAGGCGUGUUAACUCAGGUUAGUUACCAAAUGCUCAGAACUUUGGUUUCCCCUCUGUGAUGUAAGCAGAGUAACGCCUAUUUUUGAGGAUUCACAAUGGCGAAGUGAGUUAGCUGGGAAGCCUUCUUUGGUGGUAGAUGAUUUUCACACGUAGUUGCAAACCACAAAACUACCAAAGUGGAAGUAUGUGGCUUAUGUCAGUGACUUCCCCUGUCAAUCCCCUGGUUUCAGUUUACCUCAGUUCCUGGUAAGCCCAAGGUUCCCAUUGUUCACAGAAUUUUUCUCGCUGUAGUUGAAAUGUUGAAAUGUAGUAGGUCCAGUAUGGGGAGGGGAGAGAAUCUUAAUGUCUUCAUCGUUGCCUUUUCAACAGCUGGAGCUAUUUUUUUCAUUACCUUUUUUUUUCUUCCCUUUGCUUGAGGUUUUUUUUUUUUUUUUUACUCUUGGUUUUAUCAGGUUUUCUCAACAGCUUCAAAUGUUUAACUUUGAAGUAAGUGAACUUAAAAGAAGAACUGAAAACUCAUUCCGAUGGCCCGAAGUCCCCUGGGCAGCCUUGCCACAGUAACCACUUUACGUGGAACUCAUUAGUGCAAGCUGUUCUCAUCAGCGCCCGGAGGACGGUGACGCCAGCGCUCCCCGCUUUGAGCCUGGUGCCAGAGUCCAGCGCCUUCGCGGGGCAGCGAGGGCUUGGGGGCCCUGGCGCCGCAUCUCGCGGUCAGGGCGACGCCGCGCACAGAGUCUGGGCAGCCCCUGGGGGACCAGGCUCCGGGCGCCGCUUAUUGUGCAGCCGGCGCCAACCAGCAAAUUACAUCUGAGCCGCCUUUGAAGCCACCGGCCGCUUUCAAAAUGGGACUUUGAAAGCCGGGCUCCCCUGACUCUGAGCUGGGGAACGGAACUGGGCGUUUCAGGGAGGACUGGUUGACGCACACGUGCCUACCUCUGUGGCUCUCGGCCGGCAUUAAUAGCGAGAAUAAAAGGAAGACUUUGUCUGGUGGGUGUUCGUGUGCAGGGUUCCAUCCCUUUAUUGACAAAGGAAACGUUUGGACUCCUGGAGUUCUGACUGGCCAUUGGGGAAGGAAUGGAGCUCUUUGAAGUGAGAGCACUGAACGUUUUUCCUUGGGCUAUGUAUGUGUGUAUUUUCUCCUCCCUCUCAAGCUCUGGUGGUAUCCUUUUGCUUAAGGAUCCAGUUGAGGGAGAGGGGAGGACCCUCAAGACACAUGUAGAGUUAAAUUGGAUGGUUGAAACCCUAUUUGGGGUUUGUGAAUCCUAUUUCUAUUUUCUGGAGUCCCUAAUGGUGCAAAGGUUAACAUACUCGCUGCUAACUGAAAAGUUGGUGGUUGAUUCCACCCAGAGUUGCAGUGGAAGAAAGGCUUGGUGAUUGACUACCAAAAAAUCAGAUAUUUAAAACCCUAUGGAGCACAAAUCUACCCUGACACAAAUGGGGCACCAUGAGUCAGAAUGGGCUGGAGGGCAAUUUUUUUUUUAUUUCUAUUAGAGAGGAAGUAGCUCUGGUGGUGCGGUGGUUAAGUGCUCAGCUGUUAACUGAAAGGUCAGAGGUUCAAACCCACCUGCUGCUCUGUGGGAGAAAGAUGUGGCAGCCUAAUUCCUUAAAGAUUAAAGCCGUGGAGACCCUGUGAGGCAGUUCUACUCUGUCCUACUGGGUCACUGUGAGUCGGAAUCGACUUGAUGGCAAUCAGUUAGGUUUGGCAUUAGUCAGAGAAGGGAGAGAGUAGCUAGCUACCACAAACAAAACAAAACAAAACAAAACUUGUUGCCUUUGAGUGGAUUCAGACUCAUAGGCUCCAAGAGGACAGAACAGAAUUGCCUCAUAGGGUUUCCAGGGAGUGGGUGGUAGAUUUGAACUGCUGACCUUUUGGUUAGCAGCCAAGCUCUUGAUGACUGGGCCACCAGGGUUCCUAGCUGCCAUAACAGCCCCUUUUUCCUGCUUUUGCCCCCGCCUUUUGGCACCUGAUUGAAUGAGCCUCUUUGCACACAACGGGAAAACAAGUGGGAAGAUACAGUUGCUAGAACUCAGGCUCUGAAACCAGACAGGCUGGGUCAGAAUUUUCUGCAAAUCACUUAACGUUGUGAAUGUGUCCAACAGACAAUAGAUAUUCAGGCUUUUCCCGCAACCAGGCAUCACCAGGUGGUCCUUUGCCUUUUUAUUUCUGGCCUUCUCUAACUCCUAUUUAUGUCAGUCUUUCAUUGCACAAAGGUAGAGUUCAUAACAGUUCACAGAGCUCCAGUGCUUUCCUUAUCAGCAGCUCUUAUUUGUUGUGUCCUCCCUUAGUAUAACCGCCUUCAUACCCUUAUACCUACUUUUCCAAACUCAGCUUCUUCUAAGUCACCCCCUUCAUAUGCUGUGUGCCAUCAAGUUAAUUCCGACUCAUAGUGAUCCUAUAGGACAGGGUAGAACUGCCCCAUUGGGUUCCAAUGCUGUGAUCUUUACAGAAGCAGGUCGCUACAUCUUUCUCCCAUAGAGUGGCUGGUGAGUUUGAACUGCCUACCUUUUGGUUAGCAGCUGAGCAGUUAACCACUGCACCACCAGGGCUCCUUUCCCUUCAUAGAGGGCACCUUGUUCUUCUGUUUUAGCAGCAUGGUUCUGCCCUUCAUAUGUCUGAAGCCAAUCAGCAUAUCAUACUGGGUUACAAAGGAAAUAUGCACUCUGCCCUAGAACACUACCGUAUUUGGAAGGACCAUAACUUCUGAGUUUCAUAGCAAGGUUAUCAAUGAGUCAGUGUCAGCCUACAAAAGCAUAUUGAAAUGAACUUUUCCAGAAAGGACAUAUGGAUUCAGUGCAACAGUCCUUGAGGCAGGUCUUGUUAUCUGUUUCUUAUUCAUAAGGAACUAGGAUUUAAGGAUCUCUAUGAAUUCCAAGUGGGACCAUCGGUGGUUCAAUUGCAAAAGUGUUGCCUUCCAUGUGGGAGACCCGGGUUCGAUUCCCAGCCAAUGCACCUCAAGCAAACCCACCACUCAUCUGUCACUGGAGGCUUACAUGUUUCUGUAAUGCUGAACAGGUUUCAGUGGCGCUUCCAGACUAAGAUGGACUAGGGAAAAAAGGUUGGUUGUCGACUUCCGGAGAUCAGCCAGUGAAAACUCUAUGGAUUGCAGAAGGAUGGUGCAGGCCCAGGCGGCAUUUUAUUCCAUUGUGCAGUGUGGUCCCUACAAGUUGGAGGCUGACU